GACAAUAAAUAACAAUGUANGGCUCUUAUGGGUCUUAUAAUUGGAAUGAGUACAAUUUAAAUCCCUUAACGAGGAUCAAUUGGAGGGCAAGUCUGGUGCCAGCAGCCGCGGNAAUUCCAGCUCCAAUAGCGUAUACUAAANUUGUUGCCGUUAAAAAGCUCGUAGUCGAACUUCGGCCUUUGCCGCCCGGUCCGCCUUUUUGGUGNGUACUGGAGCGGNGGAGGCCUNCUUCGUGGUGAACAAUCAUGCUCUUUACUGGG
Molecule: ribosomal RNA, 260 nt
Filed under: uncultured Cystobasidiomycetes
Lineage: Eukaryota; Fungi; Basidiomycota; Cystobasidiomycetes
Description: partial 18S ribosomal RNA
Rfam family: Eukaryotic small subunit ribosomal RNA
Source: RNAcentral